UAUAUUUGUUUAAUAUGGCAGAAGUUAGUGCGAUGAAUUUAAAAUUCAUUUAUAUAGAUUUUAUUUAUUAUUAAAA
Molecule: transfer RNA, 76 nt
Filed under: Melissodes glenwoodensis
Lineage: Eukaryota; Metazoa; Arthropoda; Insecta; Hymenoptera; Apidae
Description: tRNA-Leu
Rfam family: tRNA (bases 9-76)
About the family: Transfer RNA (tRNA) molecules are approximately 80 nucleotides in length. Their secondary structure includes four short double-helical elements and three loops (D, anti-codon, and T loops). Further hydrogen bonds mediate the characteristic L-shaped molecular structure. tRNAs have two regions of fundamental functional importance: the anti-codon, which is responsible for specific mRNA codon recognition, and the 3' end, to which the tRNAs corresponding amino acid is attached (by aminoacyl-tRNA synthetases). tRNAs cope with the degeneracy of the genetic code in two manners: having more than one tRNA (with a specific anti-codon) for a particular amino acid; and 'wobble' base-pairing, i.e. permitting non-standard base-pairing at the 3rd anti-codon position.
Source: RNAcentral